Molecule: ribosomal RNA, 414 nt
Filed under: Hemisalanx brachyrostralis
Lineage: Eukaryota; Metazoa; Chordata; Actinopteri; Osmeriformes; Salangidae
Description: partial 16S ribosomal RNA
Rfam family: Bacterial large subunit ribosomal RNA
Source: RNAcentral
UGGCUAGACGAGGGCUUAACUGUCUCCUCCCCCCAGUCAGUGAAAUUGAUCUCCCCGUGCAGAAGCGGGGAUUAGUACAUAAGACGAGAAGACCCUAUGGAGCUUUAGACACUAGACAGCCCACGUUAUACCCCCUCCCCUAAGAGGAGAAAACAUUGUGGCCCCUGUCUCCACUGUCUUCGGUUGGGGCGACCGCGGAGGAUAAAGAAGCCUCCAUGUGGACCAAGGUUACGAACCUCACAACUAAGGGCUGCCGCCCUAAGCAACAGAAAUUCUGACCAGAAUGAUCCGGCCUAGAGCCGAUUAACGGAACAAGUUACCCUAGGGAUAACAGCGCAAUCCUCUCCCAGAGUCCCUAUCGACGAGGGGGUUUACGACCUCGAUGUUGGAUCAGGACAUCCUAUUGGUGCAGCC